GAGCUUUAGCUCAGUGGUUAGAGCAGUCGGCUCAUAACCGAUCGGUCCCGGGUUCGAGUCCCCGAAG
Molecule: transfer RNA, 67 nt
Filed under: uncultured Stomatobaculum sp.
Lineage: Bacteria; Bacillati; Bacillota; Clostridia; Lachnospirales; Lachnospiraceae
Rfam family: tRNA
About the family: Transfer RNA (tRNA) molecules are approximately 80 nucleotides in length. Their secondary structure includes four short double-helical elements and three loops (D, anti-codon, and T loops). Further hydrogen bonds mediate the characteristic L-shaped molecular structure. tRNAs have two regions of fundamental functional importance: the anti-codon, which is responsible for specific mRNA codon recognition, and the 3' end, to which the tRNAs corresponding amino acid is attached (by aminoacyl-tRNA synthetases). tRNAs cope with the degeneracy of the genetic code in two manners: having more than one tRNA (with a specific anti-codon) for a particular amino acid; and 'wobble' base-pairing, i.e. permitting non-standard base-pairing at the 3rd anti-codon position.
Source: RNAcentral